AAGGCAUACUGACCCAAAACUGAAGAAGCAGGAACACUCAACAAGGUUCACCUGCUAUCAGAAACUAAGAACCUGAAAUAAUAUUAAGAAUGAGGGGUGAGUUCAACCAACUCAGUGAGGGAAUAAUAAUUAAUAUACAUUUUAGAUAUUCUUGAUAUUUAUAGUUCGCAAGAUCAUUUAUCUUGAUAUACAUAUACAUAUACAUACUAAACUUAUCAUAUACAUAUCAUAUACAUAUCAUAUACAUACUAAACGUAUCAUCAUAACGUAGUGGACUAUAUGUCAGAGAUCAGAUGACACCCGAAGGUGACCAGAUGACACCCGAAGGUGACCAGACCAGAUGACACCCGAAGGUGACCACUGUGGGAUGAUCAGUCGCCACAGGCUGAUGCCUCUCUCACCAGCUAGGUAUACAUACAUAAUACUAUGUGCACACAGGCUAACUACUCUCCGUUAGCAUGGAGUUACUGACAAGUCCCAUAUCAAGGCAUAAUAGAUAUUCACAUAAUCAUCAAAGAAACGUAUAUCAUAUCAAAUAGGAUUUACUUUGACAGAUUGCGAGUGCAAAUUCAAGAAUAAAUGAGUACUCGGAAAAUAAGCAACAUAUAUAAUUAUUCAAGAAAUUAACGAGUUGUACUCAUUGUAUAAUCAACAUACAUAUUUACUUAUCAUAUAUGCAUAUUAAAGAUUAUUCCACUCACCCGGAAAAUAUAGAACUAAAAGGAAUGUCAGACGAAAGACCCGAAAAUCCUAUUGAGGAUCAUUAGGAGAACCUACAACAAUAUAUGAAAUAUACUCAAAAAUAACUCAAACA
Molecule: long non-coding RNA, 814 nt
Filed under: Populus trichocarpa (black cottonwood)
Lineage: Eukaryota; Viridiplantae; Streptophyta; Magnoliopsida; Malpighiales; Salicaceae
Description: long non-coding RNA (PTRI_LNC001895)
Source: RNAcentral